GCCGCCUCUCCCGCGCCUCCCUACUGUGAGGGGGCGGCGCUGCACGCGCCUCCCGGGAUCCCGGGUCCCUUCGCCCGGGAAGCUGUCCAUGCCGCAUGAUAGAUACUCAGAACCACUCCGGCCGACCCCAGCCUCCGCACAGUAGUCAGCCACAGUUCAGUGGGGGCAUUUUUCUUUUGUUAAGAGGCCUAAUGAGCCAGCGGAUGUUCGGGCUCAUUGCGAAAUGAAGAACCUAGAGGGGGAUUUUAUUUUUCUUAAUUAAACAACAACAACAAAAACCUCUCUGAGCACUACACUAAGCAACAAAUAGGCCCUAGUGGAUUAUAAAUAAGAAGAAAAGGAACAAAAACCUCAAAGUAUAUUGAUCAGAGUGCUGAAUAGUACUUUCAUUCUUCAAGUUUUCUGGUGUUUAAAAGCCAUAUCAAGGUGUUGCUUCCUUCUUCCCUCCUGCUGCCCACCCACUCUUCGACAGUUAUACCAGAG
This is a long non-coding RNA of Symphalangus syndactylus (siamang), 483 nucleotides long. RefSeq lists it as uncharacterized. The record is from RefSeq and is a predicted model, not a curated record. Lineage: Eukaryota; Metazoa; Chordata; Mammalia; Primates; Hylobatidae.